This 484-nucleotide ribosomal RNA is filed under the name uncultured bacterium. RNAcentral describes it as "partial 16S ribosomal RNA". It matches the Rfam family "Bacterial small subunit ribosomal RNA", at positions 30 to 507 of the family's 1533-position model. The record is from RNAcentral.
AUUGAACGCUGGCGGAAUGCUUUACACAUGCAAGUCGAGCGGCAGCGCGGCCUUCGGGCUGGCGGCGAGCGGCGAACGGGUGAGUAAUGCAUCGGAACAUGCCCAGUCGUGGGGGAUAACACUUCGAAAGAAGUGCUAAUACCGCAUACGUCCUGAGGGGGAAAGCGGGGGAUCGCAAGACCUCGCGCGAUUGGAGUGGCCGAUGUCAGAUUAGCUAGUUGGUGGGGUAAAGGCCUACCAAGGCGACGAUCCGUAGCUGGUCUGAGAGGAUGAUCAGCCACACUGGGACUGAGACACGGCCCAGACUCCUACGGGAGGCAGCAGUGGGGAAUUUUGGACAAUGGGGGCAACCCUGAUCCAGCCAUUCCGCGUGAGUGAAGAAGGCCUUCGGGUUGUAAAGCUCUUUCGGUAGGAACGAAACGGUGGGCUCUAACAUAGUCCGCUAAUGACGGUACCUGAAGAAGAAGCACCGGCUAACUACGUG